GACGAACGCUGGCGGCGUGCCUAAUACAUGCAAGUCGAACGCUUCUUUCCUCCCGAGUGCUUGCACUCAAUUGGAAAGAGGAGUGGCGGACGGGUGAGUAACACGUGGGUAACCUACCCAUCAGAGGGGGAUAACACUUGGAAACAGGUGCUAAUACCGCAUAACAGUUUAUGCCGCAUGGCAUAAGAGUGAAAGGCGCUUUCGGGUGUCGCUGAUGGAUGGACCCGCGGUGCAUUAGCUAGUUGGUGAGGUAACGGCUCACUAAGGCCACGAUGCAUAGCCGACCUGAGAGGGUGAUCGGCCACACUGGGACUGAGACACGGCCCAGACUCCUACGGGAGGCAGCAGUAGGGAAUCUUCGGCAAUGGACGAAAGUCUGACCGAGCAACGCCGCGUGAGUGAAGAAGGUGUUCGGAUCGUAAAACUCUGUUGUUAGAGAAGAACAAGGACGUUAGUAACUGAACGUCCCCUGACGGUAUCUAACCAGAAAGCCACGGCUAACUACGUG
Molecule: ribosomal RNA, 508 nt
Filed under: uncultured bacterium
Lineage: Bacteria
Description: partial 16S ribosomal RNA
Rfam family: Bacterial small subunit ribosomal RNA
Source: RNAcentral